This 428-nucleotide ribosomal RNA is filed under the name uncultured bacterium. Its description in RNAcentral is "bacterial SSU rRNA". It matches the Rfam family "Bacterial small subunit ribosomal RNA", at positions 30 to 504 of the family's 1533-position model. The record is from RNAcentral.
CGAACGCUGGCGGCACGCCUAACACAUGCAAGUCGGACGAGAUCUUCGGAUCUAGUGGCGGACGGGUUAGUAACGCGUGGGAACAUACCCUUUUCUAAGGAAUAGCCACUGGAAACGGUGAGUAAUACCUUAUACGCCCUUCGGGGGAAAGAUUUAUCGGUGAAGGAUUGGCCCGCGUUAGAUUAGAUAGUUGGUGGGGUAAUGGCCUACCAAGUCUACGAUCUAUAGCUGGUUUGAGAGGAUGAUCAGCAACACUGGGACUGAGACACGGCCCAGACUCCUACGGGAGGCAGCAGUGGGGAAUCUUAGACAAUGGGCGAAAGCCUGAUCUAGCGAUGCCGCGUGUGUGACGAAGGCCUUAGGGUCGUAAAGCACUUUCGCCAAGGAUGAUAAUGACAGUACUUGGUAAAGAAACCCCGGCUAACUCC